ACACAUGCAAGUCGCGGGGCAUCAUGGCGAUAGCUUGCUAUUGCUGAUGGCGACCGGCGCACGGGUGAGUAACGCGUAUCCAACCUGCCCCAUACUACGGCACAGCCCGGCGAAAGUCGGAUUAAUGCCGUAUGUUCUCCGAAGAAGACAUCUGACUUGGAGCAAAGCAGCGAUGCGGUAUGGGAUGGGGAUGCGUCCGAUUAGCUUGUUGGCGGGGUAACGGCCCACCAAGGCGACGAUCGGUAGGGGUUCUGAGAGGAAGGUCCCCCACACUGGAACUGAGACACGGUCCAGACUCCUACGGGAGGCAGCAGUGGGGAAUAUUGGUCAAUGGGCGCGAGCCUGAACCAGCCAAGUAGCGUGCAGGAGGAAGGCCCUAUGGGUUGUAAACUGCUUUUAUGCGGGGAUAAACGAGGGGACGUGUCCCUUUUUGCAGGUACCGCAUGAACUCAAGGACCGGCUAAUUCCGUGCCAGCAGCCGCGGUAAUACGGAAGGUCCGGGCGUUAUCCGGAUUUAUUGGGUUUAAAGGGAGCGCAGAGCCGGAGGCUAAGCGUGCUGUGAAAUGUAGGCGCCCAACGUCUGAAUUGUAGCGCGAACUGGCUUUCUUGAGUGCGUGGGAAGUGGGCGGAAUUCGUGGUGUAGCGGUGAAAUGCUUAGAUAUCACGAAGAACUCCGAUUGCGAAGGCAGCCCACUGUUGCGUCACUGACGCUGAGGCUCGAAAGUGCGGGUAUCGAACAGGAUUAGAUACCCUGGUAGUCCGCACGGUAAACGAUGGAUGCCCGCUGUUUGCCCAUUAUGGGUGAGUGGCCAAGCGAAAGCAUUAAGCAUCCCACCUGGGGAGUACGCCGGCAACGGUGAAACUCAAAGGAAUUGACGGGGGCCCGCACAAGCGGAGGAACAUGUGGUUUAAUUCGAUGAUACGCGAGGAACCUUACCCGGGCUUGAAUUGCAGGAGGAGGAUGCCAGAGAUGCUGACGCCCUUCGGGGCACCUGUGAAGGUGCUGCAUGGUUGUCGUCAGCUCGUGCCGUGAGGUGUCGGCUUAAGUGCCAUAACGAGCGCAACCCCUCUCCGUAGUUGCCAUCGGGUUAUGCCGGGCACUCUGCGGACACUGCCACCGCAAGGUGUGAGGAAGGUGGGGAUGACGUCAAAUCAGCACGGCCCUUACGUCCGGGGCUACACACGUGUUACAAUGGGUGGUACAGAGAGCAGGGUGCCCGCAAGGUUGCCCGAAUCAUGAAAGCCAUCCUCAGUUCGGAUUGGGGUCUGCAACCCGACCCCAUGAAGCUGGAUUCGCUAGUAAUCGCGCAUCAGCCAUGGCGCGGUGAAUACGUUCCCGGGCCUUGUACACACCGCCCGUCAAGCCAUGAAAGCCGGGGGCGCCUGAAGUCCGUGACC
RNAcentral lists this ribosomal RNA (1398 nucleotides) under uncultured bacterium. Its description in RNAcentral is "16S ribosomal RNA". It matches the Rfam family "Bacterial small subunit ribosomal RNA". The record is from RNAcentral.